AGUGAACGCUGGCGGUAGGCCUAACACAUGCAAGUCGAACGGCAGCACAGUAAGAGCUUGCUCUUACGGGUGGCGAGUGGCGGACGGGUGAGGAAUACAUCGGAAUCUACUUUUUCGUGGGGGAUAACGUAGGGAAACUUACGCUAAUACCGCAUACGACCUACGGGUGAAAGCAGGUGAUCUUCGGACCUUGCGCGAUUGAAUGAGCCGAUGUCGGAUUAGCUAGUUGGCGGGGUAAAGGCCCACCAAGGCGACGAUCCGUAGCUGGUCUGAGAGGAUGAUCAGCCACACUGGAACUGAGACACGGUCCAGACUCCUACGGGAGGCAGCAGUGGGGAAUAUUGGACAAUGGGCGCAAUCCUGAUCCAGCCAUACCGCGUGGGUGAAGAAGGCCUUCGGGUUGUAAAGCCCUUUUGUUGGGAAAGAAAAGCAGCAGGUUAAUACCCCGCUGUUCUGACGGUACCCAAAGAAUAAGCACCGGCUAACUUCGUG
This 492-nucleotide ribosomal RNA is filed under the name uncultured bacterium. Its description in RNAcentral is "partial 16S ribosomal RNA". It matches the Rfam family "Bacterial small subunit ribosomal RNA", at positions 29 to 507 of the family's 1533-position model. The record is from RNAcentral.